RNAcentral lists this ribosomal RNA (462 nucleotides) under uncultured bacterium. RNAcentral's name for it is "partial 16S ribosomal RNA". It matches the Rfam family "Bacterial small subunit ribosomal RNA", at positions 338 to 795 of the family's 1533-position model. The record is from RNAcentral.
CCUACGGGAGGCAGCAGUGAGGAAUAUUGGUCAAUGGCCGGAAGGCUGAACCAGCCAAGUCGCGUGAGGGAAUAAGGCCCUAUGGGUCGUAAACCUCUUUUGUCAGGGAGCAAAGGCGUCCACGUGUGGACGAGAGGAGAGUACCUGAAGAAAAAGCAUCGGCUAACUCCGUGCCAGCAGCCGCGGUAAUACGGGGGAUGCAAGCGUUAUCCGGAUUUAUUGGGUUUAAAGGGUGCGUAGGCUGUGAGGUAAGUAAGCGGUGAAAUGCCCCCGCGCAACGGGGUGAAGUGCCAUUGAUACUGCCGUGCUGGAAUGCGGAUGCCGUGGGAGGAAUGUGUGGUGUAGCGGUGAAAUGCAUAGAUAUCACACAGAACACCGAUUGCGAAGGCAUCUCACGAAUCCGCGAUUGACGCUGAUGCACGAAAGCGUGGGUAUCAAACAGGAUUAGAUACCCGUGUAGUC